AGUGAACGCUGGCGGUAGGCCUAACACAUGCAAGUCGAACGGCAGCACAGUAAGAGCUUGCUCUUACGGGUGGCGAGUGGCGGACGGGUGAGGAAUACAUCGGAAUCUACUUUUUCGUGGGGGAUAACGUAGGGAGACUUACGCUAAUACCGCAUACGACCUACGGGUGAAAGCAGGGGAUCUUCGGACCUUGCGCGAUUGAAUGAGCCGAUGUCGGAUUAGCUAGUGGGCGGGGUAAAGGCCCACCAAGGCGACGAUCCGUAGCUGGUCUGAGAGGAUGAUCAGCCACACUGGAACUGAGACACGGUCCAGACUCCUACGGGAGGCAGCAGUGGGGAAUAUUGGACAAUGGGCGCAAGCCUGAUCCAGCCAUACCGCGUGGGUGAAGAAGGCCUUCGGGUUGUAAAGCCCUUUUGUUGGGAAAGAAAAGCAGCAGGUUAAUACCCCGCUGUUCUGACGGUACCCAAAGAAUAAGCACCGGCUAACUUCGUG
This 492-nucleotide ribosomal RNA is filed under the name uncultured bacterium. Its description in RNAcentral is "partial 16S ribosomal RNA". It matches the Rfam family "Bacterial small subunit ribosomal RNA", at positions 29 to 507 of the family's 1533-position model. The record is from RNAcentral.